This 371-nucleotide ribosomal RNA is filed under the name uncultured eukaryote. Its description in RNAcentral is "SSU rRNA". It matches the Rfam family "Eukaryotic small subunit ribosomal RNA", at positions 567 to 934 of the family's 1831-position model. The record is from RNAcentral.
CCAGCAGCCGCGGUAAUUCCAGCUCCAAUAGCGUAUAUUAAAGUUGUUGCGGUUAAAAAGCUCGUAGUUGGAUCUCGGCGGGCAGGGGGCGGUUCGUUAUUUGACGUGACUGCCCCGUUUGUCCGUGUUUCUUCUGGGCGGAGUUUCCGGGGUGCUCUUAACCGAGUGUCCCGGGAGGCCGCCAGGUUUACUUUGAAAAAAUUAGAGUGCUCCAAGCAGGCUCGACACGCCUGAAUAUUCGUGCAUGGAAUAAUGGAAUAGGACGUCGUUCCUAUUUUGUUGGUUUUCGGGAAUCGACGUAAUGAUUAAUAGGGACAGCCGGGGGCAUUCGUAUUCAGACGACAGAGGUGAAAUUCUUGGACCGUCUGAAG